RNAcentral lists this ribosomal RNA (599 nucleotides) under Pseudomonas sp. RNAcentral's name for it is "bacterial SSU rRNA". It matches the Rfam family "Bacterial small subunit ribosomal RNA", at positions 115 to 710 of the family's 1533-position model. Lineage: Bacteria; Pseudomonadati; Pseudomonadota; Gammaproteobacteria; Pseudomonadales; Pseudomonadaceae. The record is from RNAcentral.
ACCUAGGAAUCUGCCUGGUAGUGGGGGACAACGUUUCGAAAGGAACGCUAAUACCGCAUACGUCCUACGGGAGAAAGCAGGGGACCUUCGGGCCUUGCGCUAUCAGAUGAGCCUAGGUCGGAUUAGCUAGUUGGUGAGGUAAUGGCUCACCAAGGCUACGAUCCGUAACUGGUCUGAGAGGAUGAUCAGUCACACUGGAACUGAGACACGGUCCAGACUCCUACGGGAGGCAGCAGUGGGGAAUAUUGGACAAUGGGCGAAAGCCUGAUCCAGCCAUGCCGCGUGUGUGAAGAAGGUCUUCGGAUUGUAAAGCACUUUAAGUUGGGAGGAAGGGCAGUAAGCGAAUACCUUGCUGUUUUGACGUUACCGACAGAAUAAGCACCGGCUAACUCUGUGCCAGCAGCCGCGGUAAUACAGAGGGUGCAAGCGUUAAUCGGAAUUACUGGGCGUAAAGCGCGCGUAGGUGGUUCGUUAAGUUGGAUGUGAAAUCCCCGGGCUCAACCUGGGAACUGCAUCCAAAACUGGCGAGCUAGAGUAGGGCAGAGGGUGGUGGAAUUUCCUGUGUAGCGGUGAAAUGCGUAGAUAUAGGAAGGAACACC